AACCUGUCUAGUAAUCGAUACCCCACGAUAAUUUUCACAUUUAUUUCUAAAUUUUAUAUACCUCCAUCUUUAGGGUUAAUAUUUAUAUUUUUCCCGUAAUAGUCUCUAAAAAGUUAGGUAAAGGUGUAGACUAUAUAAAUGAUUCUGAUGGGUUACAUUAAAUGAUAUUUAAGAAUACAUUAAUAAAAAUUUUUGUUGAAAAAGGAUUUAUUAGUAAACUUAGAAUAUUAUUCUUUCUUGAAUUUGGUAUUAAAUGUGC
Molecule: ribosomal RNA, 259 nt
Filed under: Cyrtophora citricola
Lineage: Eukaryota; Metazoa; Arthropoda; Arachnida; Araneae; Araneidae
Description: partial 12S ribosomal RNA
Source: RNAcentral